RNAcentral lists this ribosomal RNA (441 nucleotides) under uncultured bacterium. Its description in RNAcentral is "partial 16S ribosomal RNA". It matches the Rfam family "Bacterial small subunit ribosomal RNA", at positions 338 to 795 of the family's 1533-position model. The record is from RNAcentral.
CCUACGGGUGGCAGCAGUGGGGGAUAUUGCACAAUGGGGGAAACCCUGAUGCAGCGACACCGCGUGGGUGAAGAAGCGCUUCGGCGUGGAAAGCCCUAUCAGUCGGGAAGAAAAAGGACGGUACCCAAAGAAGAAGCACCGGCUAAAUACGUACCAGCAGCCGCGGUAAUACGUAGGGUGCAAGCGUUAUCCGGAAUGACUGGGUGUAAAGGGAUCGUAUAGGGUUGUAUAAGUCUGAGGUGAAAGCCCACGGCUCAACUGUGGGAGUGCAUUGGAAACUGUAGAACUAGAGUAUCGGAGAGGCAAGCGGAAGUCGUGGUGUAGCGGUGAAAUGCGUAGAUAUUAGGAGGAACACCAGUGGCGAAGGCGGCUUGCUGGACGAACACUGACGUUGAGGCUCGAAAGCGUGGGGAGCAAACAGGAUUAGAUACCCUAGUAGUC